RNAcentral lists this ribosomal RNA (440 nucleotides) under uncultured bacterium. RNAcentral's name for it is "partial 16S ribosomal RNA". It matches the Rfam family "Bacterial small subunit ribosomal RNA", at positions 338 to 795 of the family's 1533-position model. The record is from RNAcentral.
CCUACGGGGGGCAGCAGUGGGGAAUAUUGCACAAUGGGGGGAACCCUGAUGCAGCGACGCCGCGUGAGUGAAGAAGUAUUUCGGUAUGUAAAGCUCUAUCAGCAGGGAAGAAAAUGACGGUACCUGACUAAGAAGCCCCGGCUAACUACGUGCCAGCAGCCGCGGGAAUACGUAGGGGGCAAGCGUUAACCGGAUUUACUGGGUGUAAAGGGAGCGUAUACGGUUAUGCAAGUCUGAAGUGAAAGCGCAAGGCUCAACCAUGGGACUGCUUUGGAAACUGUAAAACUGGAGUGCAGGAGAGGUAAGCGGAAUUCCUAGUGGAGCGGUGAAAUGCGUAGAUAUUAGGAGGAACACCAGUGGAGAAGGCGGCUUACUGGACUGUAACUGACGUUGAGGCUCGAAGGCGUGGGGAGCAAACAGGAUUAGAUACCCUUGUAGUC